RNAcentral lists this ribosomal RNA (100 nucleotides) under Thomasclavelia spiroformis. Lineage: Bacteria; Bacillati; Bacillota; Erysipelotrichia; Erysipelotrichales; Coprobacillaceae. The record is from RNAcentral.
CAAUGGCAUGAUGGACACACCUGUACCCAUACCGAACACAGAAGUUAAGCAUCAUAGCGGCGACGAUAGUACACUGUGCGAAAAUAGCACGCUGCCAGUU